GAUUUUCAGAGUGGAAACUAGGAAAGGGGAUAACGAAAUGUAAAUAAAGAAAAUAUCUAGUAGAAUAUAUAUAAAUAUGUAAAUAUUUAUAUAUAUAAAGAUUCACACUGUUUUCUUCCACUUGAUAUUCUGCCUUGUCGGAUUGGAUAAACGAUGCUAAGAUAACUACAGUUGUUCCUUUUAUGUCAUGCUUUUGAUCUGGUUUCGGCCUGCUCAUGCAGAUUUUCUUAAGAACCUACUGUUUUGUGGGGGAGAAAAGCACACAUUUUAUAAAAGUCCCUUGGUUUCUAUGCCAUGAUCUUGGCUUUUUCAUGUGAUUUUAAAAAUUCUCUCUGAUGCCUAUAUGAAUGCCAGUAUUUGAACAACCCACUUUUCAGCUUUAGAGUUGGAUUCGCUUUUGUGUCCUGAAUUAGUUACUCUCUUCCAGAUGUUUCUUUCGGAUGUACCUAAAACUUCUCUUCAGUCGCACUCCUCUCUUCCUACCUGACCUGUAGCUGUCCUUAAGACUUCCUUUUUAAAGGCACCAUGCCCUUCCAGCCUGUGAGACGGAGGUACUCCUCAUCUGACUUCCCGUUGCUCUCCAUCCCCCCUGGAAGCCCAGCUGUCCGUCACUGGCUAGCCCAGACUCAUGCUCAUUACUGCAAAGCGACUUCUCCCACCUCUCUCGCGGUAUUCAUUAAUAUCUCUCUAUUAAACCCAGACUUGGGAACUCCAAGCCACCUCUGUGCUAUCACAGUGGUCACCUCCUCUUGCUCUAGUCCUACUCAGAUUUCCCAGAGAUAGGUUUUUAUCAACUCCCUCUGCUCCUCUUGCAUGUUUUCUACCACUGUCAACAUAAUUGGAACUCCAUUCUAAAUGACCUGAUCCUGACUGAUUUAUGUUAUAUGUGAGCCUGACCUAAUUUAAUCUACUCGUUAAUUACUAAUGUUAAACGGACAGUCUCGUGCAUCUAUUUUUCAAAGCAGGGUACUCAGUGCCAGGCAUGUGAUGGCACAUGCUAAUCCCUGCUCUCCUGGUGCUUGCCUUCUGUUGGUGGGUAGGAGGGAGAGGCAGAUAGGAACAAACAGGCAAUUUUAGUUUGUGAUAAAGGCUAUGUUGUUGUAUAUGGAGGAGGUAUGGAGAAGUGCUUAAUUGCCUGGGGACUCAUGGAAACUUCUGGAUCACUUAUAUUUGAGUGGAGACACUAAGGCAGCUGGAACCAUCCAGGUUGAUGAAGAGGAGCAACGGUGAACUUGCUUGGUAUCAUGUAGUAAGAAAGAGGCAUAGUCAUUAGGGUAACCAUGGCGUCCAGAUGAGAGCCCAGUAUUUAUCAGAGGAGCAUCCAUGGCUUCCCAAGGAAGGGGAUUGGCUAAUAACAGCUGCAGCUGGAGAAACUCUUGCUGUACAUACUAUUUAGGGCUUCUCUUGCUGGACUCUUCUUGGAGAGCAUUCAGGUCUUUAGGAUAGGAGGGUUUUUGUUUGUUUGUUCUUUUUUUUUCAGUUUUUCAUUGUCAAACAAAACUUGACAUGUUGAAAAGGGGAAAAAUUGUCUUUGGACUUAUUAUUAUUUUCUUCCAUUUCACUCUAGUUCUUGUUAACUUGUAGGUUCUGUCUAGUCAAGCCCAGGAAAUAAUUUGUCUUUAGGCAAUUAUAUCUGAACAUUUCCAAAAUACAUGUUGAUUAGGAUAGUCAGAUAAUGAAAUCAAUAGCAUGUCCAUGUUUGAUGGGCAGGGGUUAUACUCUGCAUGCCAGCCCAUGCUUACAUGUAGGUACCAACCUCUCCUUUUGAGGACAACGGUCAGAUCCGUGUGGCCUCUGGAAUGUGGCAAAGAUAGACCUAAAAGUCAGCACAGAGCAAAUAGCUUUAAAAAGCCUUUUGUCCAUGAGAGAGGAGGGCUGUAUUGUCAUGGACGUAGUUGGCUUCUUAAAUAAAUGCAAGUUUUAGAAAUCCCAGCUCCUUCAGGUCAGGUCAUGUCUUGAUGAAAGCCUCCUGACUCUCGGAACUUCCACACCUCACAACCUGACAGUCUUUGAUAUUACAGAUACAGGCUAAGGCUCUUCUACUUCUUCAGAUACUUUCAACUUACUGGUAGUUCAUAAUUUUCUUUUCUUCUUAGAGAAAGUUAUGCGAAUAAUUAACAAUUAGUACUCAUUGUCUUGUAUGAUAUUAUUGCAAAGGAAUGCUCAACAGACAAAUAACAGUAAUGACACAGCUUUUUCAACCCAUCAUAAAAAUAGGAGCGACGUAGCCCACGAUUUAGUAAAAACGGAAGCAUGGUAGUUAAUUACUAUAUUUGCCGGAGCAGUGUGCUUAAUUACCUUAACUGUGUUCCAGGGACAGAGGUAAAUGCCGCUUUUUAUAUGGUAUAUUGGAACAGACGCCAUCCGUGAAAUGGCAGCUCUCCAGCCAACACCAAGCACAUGGCCUGAAUACAGUGCUCUGUGAGAUUCAGAAAUAAACCACACGACUCCUGUCAUGAGGAGUCUGUGCUGUGCCUGUGUGGAAGAAGUGUCCUAGGAAAAGAAGGGUCACCCAAGAUUCUUUAAUAUGAGCACUUCAUCCCAGGGGCCUGCAGUUGAAAUUCAAUGACUUA
RNAcentral lists this long non-coding RNA (2573 nucleotides) under Mus musculus (house mouse). Its description in RNAcentral is "long non-coding RNA chr17:64648491-64651064". The record is from RNAcentral. Lineage: Eukaryota; Metazoa; Chordata; Mammalia; Rodentia; Muridae.